Molecule: long non-coding RNA, 627 nt
Organism: Anguilla rostrata (American eel)
Lineage: Eukaryota; Metazoa; Chordata; Actinopteri; Anguilliformes; Anguillidae
Exons: 4
Source: RefSeq, a predicted model, not a curated record
AGACGGUUUGUGGUACAAAGUACAGUAGUAACGUAGCCCACACGAGUUUGGUGCCUCCGUCCGGAGGAAUUUGGCGUUUGGGACCAUUUCCCGACAGCCUCUGCGCUGUUGUCCUUCGGAGAAGGCACUGCUGUAGCCAGAGCCAUUAUGGCUCUGGCCGUAGCUGGUUGAUACUCUGUUUCCUGACUCCACGGCAUCAUGGCGGCCCUCAGACCUCUAAUUAAGCCGAAGAUCGUAAAGAAAAGGACGAAGAAGUUCAUCUGACAUCAGGCAGAUCCUUAUGUCAAAAUAAAGCACCUUGGUCCAUGAGGAACGAUAUUUCGUUCCCGUAUACUGUGUAUAGGCUAAACAAACUUGGAACUUGAAAGCAAGAAGACCGAAGCACAUGCUUUCUUCUGGUUUCAGAAAGUUUCUUGUGCACAACAUCAAAGAGCUGGAGGUUCUUCUGAUGAGCAACAGGAGGCACUGCGCAGAAAUUGCUCACAAUGUUUCUUCUAAGAACAGGAAGCAGAUUGUGGGGAGGGCGGCACAGCUGGCCAUCAAAAUCACCAACCCCAAUGCCAGACUGCGCAGUAAAGACAGCGAGUGAUCAUUCCCUCCUCUGUACAGUGUAAUUAUUUUUUUAUA